This 305-nucleotide ribosomal RNA is filed under the name uncultured bacterium. RNAcentral describes it as "partial 16S ribosomal RNA". It matches the Rfam family "Bacterial small subunit ribosomal RNA", at positions 508 to 807 of the family's 1533-position model. The record is from RNAcentral.
ACAGCAGUCGCCGCGGUAAAACAGAGGGUGCAAGCGUUAAUCGGAAUUACUGGGCGUAAAGCGCGCGUAGGUGGUUUGUUAAGUUGGAUGUGAAAUCCCCGGGCUCAACCUGGGAACUGCAUCCAAAACUGGCAAGCUAGAGUAUGGUAGAGGGUGGUGGAAUUUCCUGUGUAGCGGUGAAAUGCGUAGAUAUAGGAAGGAACACCAGUGGCGAAGGCGACCACCUGGACUGAUACUGACACUGAGGUGCGAAAGCGUGGGGAGCAAACAGGAUUAGAUACCCCAGUAGUCCCUGUCUCUUAUAC